RNAcentral lists this ribosomal RNA (497 nucleotides) under uncultured bacterium. RNAcentral describes it as "partial 16S ribosomal RNA". It matches the Rfam family "Bacterial small subunit ribosomal RNA", at positions 28 to 507 of the family's 1533-position model. The record is from RNAcentral.
GAUGAACGCUGGCGGCGUGCCUAAUACAUGCAAGUCGAGCGAACAGACGAGGAGCUUGCUCCUCUGCCGUUAGCGGCGGACGGGUGAGUAACACGUGGAUAACCUACCUAUAAGACUGGGAUAACUUCGGGAAACCGGAGCUAAUACCGGAUAAUAUAUUGAACCGCAUGGUUCAAUAGUGAAAGCCGGUUUUGCUGUCACUUAUAGAUGGAUCCCCGCCGCAUUAGCUAGUUGGUAAGGUAACGGCUUACCAAGGCAACGAUGCGUAGCCGACCUGAGAGGGUGAUCAGCCACACUGGAACUGAGACACGGUCCAGACUCCUACGGGAGGCAGCAGUAGGGAAUCUUCCGCAAUGGGCGAAAGCCUGACGGAGCAACGCCGCGUGAGUGAUGAAGGUCUUCGGAUCGUAAAACUCUGUUAUUAGGGAAGAACAAAUGUGUAAGUAACUAUGCACGUCUUGACGGUACCUAAUCAGAAAGCCACGGCUAACUACGUG